RNAcentral lists this ribosomal RNA (506 nucleotides) under uncultured bacterium. RNAcentral describes it as "partial 16S ribosomal RNA". It matches the Rfam family "Bacterial small subunit ribosomal RNA", at positions 28 to 523 of the family's 1533-position model. The record is from RNAcentral.
GAUGAACGCUAGCUACAGGCUUAACACAUGCAAGUCGAGGGGUAACGAGAGGAAAGCUUGCUUUCCUUGUCGACGACCGGCGCACGGGUGAGUAACGCGUAUCCAACCUGCCCCCAACUAGGGAAUAACCUUGCGAAAGUAAGACUAAUACCCUAUAAUUUCCUCAGAUGACAUCUGACGAGGAAUAAAGAUUUAUCGGUUGUGGAUGGGGAUGCGUCUGAUUAGCUUGUUGGCGGGGUAACGGCCCACCAAGGCAACGGUCAGUAGGGGUUCUGAAAGGAAGGUCCCCCACAUUGGAACUGAGACACGGUCCAAACUCCUACGGGAGGCAGCAGUGAGGAAUAUUGGUCAAUGGGCGGAAGCCUGAACCAGCCUAGUAGCGUGCAGGAUGACGGCCCUAUGGGUUGUAAACUGCUUUUAUACAGGAAUAAAGUUAGCCACGUGUGGUUAUUUGUAGGUACUGUAUGAAUAAGGACCGGCUAAUUCCGUGCCAGCCGCCGCGGUAA